UACGUAGGGAGCAAGCGUUGUCCGGAAUCAUUGGGCGUAAAGCGCGCGUAGGUGGUCAUGUAAGUCCGCUGUGAAAGUCAAAGGCUCAACCUUUGAAAGCCGGUGGAUACUGCAUGACUAGAGUACGGAAGAGGCGAGUGGAAUUCCUGGUGUAGCGGUGGAAUGCGCAGAUAUCAGGAGGAACACCAAUAGCGAAGGCAGCUCGCUGGGACGUUACUGACACUGAGGCGCGAAAGCGUGGGGAGCGAACAGG
Molecule: ribosomal RNA, 253 nt
Filed under: uncultured bacterium
Lineage: Bacteria
Description: partial 16S ribosomal RNA
Rfam family: Bacterial small subunit ribosomal RNA
Source: RNAcentral